UGGAGCUUUGGACUCAACUCUUGUCCAGAGUUGUUGAGUUAUACUUUGUGAAGGCUGUUGUAUCCUGGAGGGGACAAGUCAAAGAGGACUACUGCUGGACCGGUGAAAACAUUUGCUGCAGUGGACUUGAAUCUCCUUAAAGAGAGCGAGAUAUCCGCGCCUCAGCCUGAAGAGAUUUAUUUUCUUCAUUUUAUUUUCAAUUGUAAUCUUGUAUUUUUGUUAUCUUGUAA
RNAcentral lists this long non-coding RNA (230 nucleotides) under Solanum tuberosum (potato). RNAcentral describes it as "long non-coding RNA (STUB_LNC000007)". Lineage: Eukaryota; Viridiplantae; Streptophyta; Magnoliopsida; Solanales; Solanaceae. The record is from RNAcentral.